Molecule: unclassified non-coding RNA, 218 nt
Filed under: Tomentella sublilacina
Lineage: Eukaryota; Fungi; Basidiomycota; Agaricomycetes; Thelephorales; Thelephoraceae
Description: partial internal transcribed spacer 2
Source: RNAcentral
ACACCUCAACUCUCAUGGUUUGCCGUGAUGAGCUUGGACUCUGGGGGUUUUGCUGGCCUGCGGUCGGCUCCCCUCAAAUGAAUCAGCCUCCCAGUGUUUGGUGGCAUCACGGGUGUGAUAAAUAUCUACGCUCGCAGUUGUCCGCCAGGUAACCUUUGGUAACAAAGGUUCGCUGGAGCUCACAGAUGUCUCUCCUCAGCGAGGACAGCUUUUUGAAC